RNAcentral lists this ribosomal RNA (500 nucleotides) under uncultured bacterium. Its description in RNAcentral is "bacterial SSU rRNA". It matches the Rfam family "Bacterial small subunit ribosomal RNA", at positions 28 to 509 of the family's 1533-position model. The record is from RNAcentral.
GAUGAACGCUAGCGGCAGGCUUAAUACAUGCAAGUUGAGGGGCAGCAUGAUAUACGCGAGUAUAUUGAUGGCGACCGGCGGACGGGUGAGUAAUAGGUAGGAGACCUACCUCAUACAGGGGGAUAGCAUAGAGAAAUCUGUGGUAAUACCCCAUGAGGUUAUAUGAAUAGAGGCAUAUAAUCAAAGCAUAAGCGAUUAUGCGGUAUGAGAGGGGCCUACUGACCAUUAGCUAGUUGGUGAGGUAAGGGCUCACCAAGGCGAAGAUGGUUAGGGGUUUUGAGAGAGACGACCCCCCACAUUGGAACUGAGAGACGGUCCAGACUCCUACGGGAGGCAGCAGUAGGGAAUAGUUGGGCAAUGGGCGAAAGCCUGACCCCAGCCAUGCCGCGUGAAGGAAGACGGCCUUAUGGGUUGUAAACUUCUUUACUACGCGAAUAGAGGUUAGUACGAGAUACUAAUAGGAAGGUAGUGUAGUAAAAAGCACCGGCUAACUCCGUGCC